Long non-coding RNA from Humulus lupulus (European hop), 545 nucleotides. RefSeq lists it as uncharacterized. NCBI's taxonomy places the organism in Eukaryota, Viridiplantae, Streptophyta, Magnoliopsida, Rosales, Cannabaceae. The transcript is spliced from 3 exons. The record is from RefSeq and is a predicted model, not a curated record.
AAUUUUUUUUAAUUUUAAUUAAAAUUUACCAAAUUUUGAAAACACCAUUUUCAUACUUUUAAAUUUUUUUAAACAAAUUUUUACUUAUGCUCUCUCUGCACACCGAGCUUUCUCAAGGUUCAAUGGAUUCUCAAAGCUCUCUCCAAAUUUUCUUCAGGGGCACCUGGGUCGAGGAGGCUUUUGCAGCUUCAUGAGGUUCAAACCAGGGAUCUUCUUCUUCUUCUUCUCUCUAAUGGUGUUUUCGUACCCAUUGUUAUUCAAGCUGAUAUUGAUUGCUCUCAAGGCAAGAGGGGCACUGAGAAGGUUCCUGUUUGCAACUUCCAAGAGGUAUUGAUAAUUAAGUUUUUAUUAUUGGGAACAAUGGUGAGGCUUCUGUUUGGACUCAAAGGCAUGUAGAAAUUUUCAUCGAACUUAUGGAAGAAUUUUUAAAGGGAAAUAAGAACUUAUGUAGACUUUAUUGAUUUUGUGUUAUCUCAUGAAUAUAUAUUAAGUUUUGAAAUUUGAGAUUACUUGGAUAUUAUUAAUAUGAUCUUUUUUUACUAUAA